CGCCUGUUUAUCAAAAACAUAGCCUUUAGUUUUUCCAGUAUUAAAGGUAACGCCUGCCCAGUGAAACUUUUWAACGGCCGCGGUAUCCUAACCGUGCAAAGGUAGCGUAAUCACUUGUCUUCUAAAUAAAGACCCGUAUGAACGGCUAAAUGAGGAUUUAACUGUCUCCUUUAACCAAUCAGUGAAACUGAUUUUCUAGUACAAAAGCUAGAAUAAUAUUAUAAGACGAGAAGACCCUGUGGAGCUUUAAAUCUUAACCAAAAUAUGUAUACCCCUUGUAUUUAUGAAACAAUAUUUUAAGUUGGGGCGACUUCGGAGAAAAACACAACCUCCGAGCACAAGAGGUUCAUUCCUAAAUCUAGGCCCACUAGCCUAGACUAACAUUGACCCAGCACUGCUGAUCAACGAACCAAGUUACCCCAGGGAUAACAGCGCCAUCUUCUUCAAGAGUUCAUAUCGACAAGAAGGUUUACGACCUCGAUGUUGGAUCAGGACACCCCAAUGGUGUAGCCGCUAUNAAAGGUUCGUUUGUUCAACGAUUAACAGUCCUACGUGAUCUGAGUUCAGA
This 568-nucleotide ribosomal RNA is filed under the name Anolis chlorocyanus (Northern Hispaniolan green anole). RNAcentral describes it as "partial large subunit ribosomal RNA". The record is from RNAcentral. Lineage: Eukaryota; Metazoa; Chordata; Lepidosauria; Squamata; Anolidae.